CAGGUGAGCACCAGGCGCUCCUACCUGAGCCAGCCUUUGCUAUCGGAGCAGCACACCGUGCCAGAAUGGCCCCAAAGUGCCCCAAAAUGCUGUGAAAUGCCAAGGGAGCUCUCAGCACCUGGCCUGCUUCGGGGGAAGGAGGGGAAGAACAACAGUAACUCUUUGAACCCAACUGAAUGUUAAUAGCACAUCUAAAAAUGAACGUCAGGUAGUCAACAUUCACAAAAUGUUGAGAACUGAUUAAAAUGUACGUAUUACCGAAGGUUACGACGUCACUACGAGGCAGGCAUGUCUUUUGGACUUGUAUAGCACCGUCAAGUACAGUCUCUUUAUUUAAAACUACAGUGAAGAAUAAAAAAGUAGUCAAUGGUAAAAUAUCGUCCAACGUAAAACCUCUAAGCAGACAAAAAUAAAGUUAAACUGCCCUCUCUCCUCAGCCAUGUUUUAUAAUGUUAUAAGUACUGUACAUUUUUCUGUCAUAAUAUUAUUAAAAUGCCUGAUAUUGAGUGGUACGAGUAAAAAAAAAAAAAAAAAAGAAAAAAAUAAUUAAAAUAAAUUAAGAAGCAGAGGCCAAUCACCGGACAUAAAGCUUCGGACACGACCAAGGACUAACACUGAUUUGCUGCGCGCCACUGAGGACAUCAGCACGUGUACAGACACAGAAGCGAGGGACAGGCGAGCUCCAUCUCUGCUCCCACGGACUCUGGGCUUACUUUGCUGGCAUCUUCUCUGCCAUGUGCUUCUGCUGGCUCUCGGCAUGUCUGGGAAGGAGAAG
This 775-nucleotide long non-coding RNA is filed under the name Gallus gallus (chicken). RNAcentral describes it as "long non-coding RNA NONGGAT009416". The record is from RNAcentral. Lineage: Eukaryota; Metazoa; Chordata; Aves; Galliformes; Phasianidae.